Salvia miltiorrhiza (redroot sage) is the source of this 974-nucleotide long non-coding RNA. RefSeq lists it as uncharacterized. The transcript has 2 exons. The record is from RefSeq and is a predicted model, not a curated record. NCBI's taxonomy places the organism in Eukaryota, Viridiplantae, Streptophyta, Magnoliopsida, Lamiales, Lamiaceae.
GCCGGCGAGGGGUGGAGGAGGCAGGAGGCGGUGACGCGUUGGGUCAGAUCGAAGAUGCUCACCAAUAAAUCAUUAUUAAGUUACGUUGAGUUUUUUUAUUAAAGUCCACGUCAAUUCCAAGUAGAUUAAUCGGUCCACAUAGGGGUGAGCAAAAAAUCCGAAACCGAAUAACCGAACCGAUCCAAACCGAAAUUUUAAAAUAUGGUUCGGUUUUUUCGGUUUUUCGGUUCGGUUCGGUUUUUUUUUUACAAAAUUUCGGUUUUUCGGUUCGGUUCGGUUCGGAUUUUUUAAAACCGAACAAAACCGAAAACCGAAUUAUAUAUAUAUAUAUAUAUAUAUAUAUAAUAUUUUAAUUAUAUACUUAAAAUAUCUAACCCUAAUUCUAAUUUCUGACUUCUAAGCCCUAAAGGCAGCGCCGCUGCCUCACUUUCAAGUUUCAAAUCUGAAAGAAUUCAUCUUCUUCUUCGUUCCUGCCUGCACCUGCGAGUCUGCGACCUAAGGAAGCGCCGCCGCGGCCUCUUGUUCGUCACGUCGUCGUCGUCGGUCGCCACCCCACCCUGCCUCACGCCCCACGCGGCAACGCCGGCCACUCCACGGCGCCUGGAGGCUGGAACUUCUGCUGCUGCUUUCACUCCCACCCUCGCCGCCCUGCUACAAAUCAGCGCCGCCGCUGCCCGCCUGCUUUCACUCCACCACCGUCUAGCAGAUAUUUCAAGGUUUCGGCAGCGAAAUUUUGUGUUUUGGGCAGAAAUUAAAGUCUCCACAAUAGAUUCUUCAGCAGCUAGUUGUAAUGUAAGUGUUGUACAUUGAAAUUGUGGACUCUUUCCUUGAUCAUUUGUUGCUAAUUUGUUGUUGAUUUGAUGGAUAUUUAGAAACUCUUUAGUUUGUUGGCUAUGGAUGUUCUAGUAUUUAAUUUGGUGAGUGUGAUGAAUGGAUUCAAUACUUAUGCAAAUUUUAAUUAUUAGGUUGUUAUA